UCGGGAAUAUUGCGCAAUGGAGGAAACUCUGACGCAGUGACGCCGCGUAUAGGAAGAAGGUUUUCGGAUUGUAAACUAUUGUCGUUAGGGAAGAGAAAGGACAGUACCUAAGGAGGAAGCUCCGGCUAACUACGUGCCAGCAGCCGCGGUAAUACGUAGGGAGCGAGCGUUAUCCGGAAUUAUUGGGUGUAAAGGGUGCGUAGACGGGAUAACAAGUUAGUUGUGAAAUCCCUCGGCUUAACUGAGGAACUGCAACUAAACUAUUAUUCUUGAGUGCAGGAGAGGUAAGUGGAAUUCCUAGUGUAGCGGUGAAAUGCGUAGAUAUUAGGAGGAACACCAGUGGCGAAGGCGACUUACUGGACUGUAACUGACGUUGAGGCACGAAAGUGUGGGGAGCAAACAGGAUUAGAUACCC
Molecule: ribosomal RNA, 415 nt
Filed under: uncultured bacterium
Lineage: Bacteria
Description: bacterial SSU rRNA
Rfam family: Bacterial small subunit ribosomal RNA
Source: RNAcentral